RNAcentral lists this ribosomal RNA (228 nucleotides) under uncultured bacterium. RNAcentral describes it as "partial 16S ribosomal RNA". It matches the Rfam family "Bacterial small subunit ribosomal RNA", at positions 103 to 334 of the family's 1533-position model. The record is from RNAcentral.
CGGGUGAGUAAUGUCUGGGAAACUGCCCGAUGGAGGGGGAUAACUACUGGAAACGGUAGCUAAUACCGCAUAAUGUCUGCGGACCAAAGCGGGGGACCUCCGGGCCUCGCGCCAUCAGAUGUGCCCAGAUGGGAUUAGCUAGUAGGUGGGGUAACGGCUCACCUAGGCGACGAUCCCUAGCUGGUCUGAGAGGAUGACCAGCCACACUGGAACUGAGACACGGUCCAG